RNAcentral lists this ribosomal RNA (301 nucleotides) under uncultured bacterium. RNAcentral describes it as "partial 16S ribosomal RNA". It matches the Rfam family "Bacterial small subunit ribosomal RNA", at positions 509 to 807 of the family's 1533-position model. The record is from RNAcentral.
CAGUAGCCGCGGUAAUACGUAGGGUGCGAGCGUUAAUCGGAAUUACUGGGCGUAAAGCGUGCGCAGGCGGUUGUAUAAGACAGAUGUGAAAUCCCCGGGCUCAACCUGGGACCUGCAUUUGUGACUGUAUAGCUAGAGUACGGUAGAGGGGGAUGGAAUUCCGCGUGUAGCAGUGAAAUGCGUAGAUAUGCGGAGGAACACCGAUGGCGAAGGCAAUCCCCUGGACCUGUACUGACGCUCAUGCACGAAAGCGUGGGGAGCAAACAGGAUUAGAUACCCCCGUAGUCCCUGUCUCUUAUAC